CUGACUUCCUCCUGCCAGUCAUUACACACCUGAGCAGAACCAGCUUGUGUCCUCCUAUCUGUAUCACUCAAACAUCUCCCUUCUCAGGUUCACCAUACCAAAAGGUCUUAGUUUAAGCGUACACACAGCAGUUUUCAGCCUUAAGGUGAAGUCCCCUGUGGUCGUCAAUACUCACUGACAAAAUGUUGCCCGCUGAUGUGCACCGGUCCUGACCCUGACAGGAGACGUAAGGUCACUGGCGGCGUGAUCUCAAAGCCACCUAAAGUCAU
Molecule: long non-coding RNA, 269 nt
Organism: Nerophis lumbriciformis (worm pipefish)
Lineage: Eukaryota; Metazoa; Chordata; Actinopteri; Syngnathiformes; Syngnathidae
Source: RefSeq, a predicted model, not a curated record